RNAcentral lists this ribosomal RNA (1345 nucleotides) under uncultured bacterium. Its description in RNAcentral is "bacterial SSU rRNA". It matches the Rfam family "Bacterial small subunit ribosomal RNA", at positions 28 to 1381 of the family's 1533-position model. The record is from RNAcentral.
GAUGAACGCUAGCGGGAGGCCUAACACAUGCAAGCCGAGCGGUAUUGUUUCUUCGGAAAUGAGAGAGCGGCGUACGGGUGCGGAACACGUGUGCAACCUGCCUUUAUCUGGGGGAUAGCCUUUCGAAAGGAAGAUUAAUACUCCAUAAUAUAUUGAUUGGCAUCAAUUAAUAUUGAAAGCUCCGGCGGAUAGAGAUGGGCACGCGCAAGAUUAGCUAGUUGGUGAGGUAACGGCUCACCAAGGCGAUGAUCUUUAGGGGGCCUGAGAGGGUGAUCCCCCACACUGGUACUGAGACACGGACCAGACUCCUACGGGAGGCAGCAGUGAGGAAUAUUGGUCAAUGGGUGCAAGCCUGAACCAGCCAUCCCGCGUGAAGGACGACUGCCCUAUGGGUUGUAAACUUCUUUUGUAUAGGGAUAAACCUACCCUCGUGAGGGUAGCUGAAGGUACUAUACGAAUAAGCACCGGCUAACUCCGUGCCAGCAGCCGCGGUAAUACGGAGGGUGCAAGCGUUAUCCGGAUUUAUUGGGUUUAAAGGGUCCGUAGGCGGACUUAUAAGUCAGUGGUGAAAGCCUGUCGCUUAACGAUAGAACUGCCAUUGAUACUGUAAGUCUUGAGUAUAUUUGAGGUAGCUGGAAUAAGUAGUGUAGCGGUGAAAUGCAUAGAUAUUACUUAGAACACCAAUUGCGAAGGCAGGUUACCAAGAUAUAACUGACGCUGAGGGACGAAAGCGUGGGGAGCGAACAGGAUUAGAUACCCUGGUAGUCCACGCCGUAAACGAUGCUAACUCGUUUUUGGGCUUUAGGGUUCAGAGACCAAGCGAAAGUGAUAAGUUAGCCACCUGGGGAGUACGCUCGCAGGAGUGAAACUCAAAGGAAUUGACGGGGGCCCGCACAAGCGGUGGAUUAUGUGGUUUAAUUCGAUGAUACGCGAGGAACCUUACCAAGACUUAAAUGGGAAUUGACAGCUUUAGAAAUAGAGCUUUCUUCGGACAAUUUUCAAGGUGCUGCAUGGUUGUCGUCAGCUCGUGCCGUGAGGUGUUAGGUUAAGUCCUGCAACGAGCGCAACCCCUGUCACUAGUUGCCAUCAUUCAGUUGGGGACUCUAGUGAGACUGCCUACGCAAGUAGAGAGGAAGGUGGGGAUGACGUCAAAUCAUCACGGCCCUUACGUCUUGGGCCACACACGUAAUACAAUGGCCGGUACAGAGGGCAGCUACACAGCGAUGUGAUGCAAAUCUCGAAAGCCGGUCUCAGUUCGGAUUGGAGUCUGCAACUCGACUCUAUGAAGCUGGAAUCGCUAGUAAUCGCGCAUCAGCCAUGGCGCGGUGAAUACGUUCCCGGGCCU